CAGAGGAGCAGUUCUUUCUGGCUGCAAUGAACUGGGUGGGCUCCCUCCAUGCGGCAGCUGAGUUUCCUUUGCGUACAAGCCCUGCAGGUUCCCUGAUGAGAUGGACUACAUUAAUUUGUCAUGUGUUAUUAGGAAAAUCCUGACAAAGAUCAAGACCACGCUGUGAAUGUUUGAUGGGCACCUGUCUGUGUAUUUUUUCUAAUUGGCCAAGAGUUCCUCUGCUGGAUAUGUAUUUUAAACUGCUAUAAAAUCAGUCCCCACUCAACUAUUUCAUGCUAAUAAACAUCCCAAAGGAUGUCAUUGAAUGAACUGAAGUAAUUUGGGAUACUACUAACGCAAUUACUCUGCUGAGAUUAUUCCAGUUUUACAUCCACUUAUGAAAAUACAGCAGGAAUCUGUCCACUGGGCAGAAGGAAGAAAACGGGCAUCAGUUUAGAUUGUUUCUGCCAGGAAAUAUAUAAUAAUUGUGUCAUUCUUGAGAAAACUCUGCAGCAGCAGGCUCAGACAGCUACAAAGUAGAGCACAUGCAUGGAUUUGUCAUCCUGCCUUAUUCUUAAACAACAUUGGCUUCUUUGUCAAUUGUGAGGAAACAAGGGGGAAAACCCCUUGGAGGUGAGCCACACAUUUAUUUGUUCCUGAGCUCGGAUAGCAGUGUUGGCUGCAACACAAUCUUUUCUUUUUUUUUCUUUUUAGAAAGAAGAGGUGAGCAUCUGUGCAACUUCUUCAGAAAAGUCAACAGAUACGUUUGACAAAUGCAUUUUCUUGACAGAUGUUGACUUGCGACAUCCAAGGACAGGAUGCAUGUGACUGCGUAAAUCCAGUGUUCAUGACAGAUCAUGAGUGCUGCUACCUGUCCCCUCCAGCUCCACUUCUGGUAUGAAGCAGCCAUCAGGUGUAGGAGUGAUGUGUGGGCUGGAGGUGCCCCACCACACUACGGACACAGAAUGAAGCAAACCUUGGUGACUAGGUGUCCAUAUGUCUGCAACAGGGAACCCGGCCAGCUCGCAGAAACUGCCUUUCCUCCAAGAACUGCAUAUUGAGGCAAAUUCCCAGCUUAUUAAAAAAUAGUUCUGUUAUUUUGCCAUCUUGUUUGUUCUGCAAUUCCACUGUAUUUUUCCCCUCUCUUUUUUUCAUUUAGCCUCAGGCUUUUUUUUUGGGAAAAAAAGGAAAUGGAAAAGAAAAAAAAAAAACCAAACCCCAAGAAAUUCUUAAAUAUAUAUUUAUUUUGGGCUUCUUAGCAUCACAGAAAAAGCCAGUGUCCCUUCCAAACUUGUAUAGGAAUUAAUAGGGAGAUCCCAAUAUUCAGAUGCUAUUUGCCCAGUGAAGAGCUGUUUGCAUGAAGAAGCUUAUAGAAGCUUCCAA
Phalacrocorax carbo (great cormorant) is the source of this 1362-nucleotide non-coding RNA. The record is from RefSeq and is a predicted model, not a curated record. Lineage: Eukaryota; Metazoa; Chordata; Aves; Suliformes; Phalacrocoracidae.